Long non-coding RNA from Heteronotia binoei (common prickly gecko), 857 nucleotides. RefSeq lists it as uncharacterized. The transcript has 2 exons. The record is from RefSeq and is a predicted model, not a curated record. Lineage: Eukaryota; Metazoa; Chordata; Lepidosauria; Squamata; Gekkonidae.
GGAGGAAGCAGACUGAUGCAGCAGAAGGGUGACCAACAGAGAGAGAGGGAGUGGAACCCAAGCAUAGCUGGGGAGAGGCAAGAGCAAAAGAGUCCCUUUCCUAAGAAUCCUUAAGGUUCAUGUUGUCUGGAGCACCAUUUCCCAAAUGUUCUGAUAGAAAUCCAUAACAGAAGAUGGAAUCUCUGGCGCGGAGGCAGCCACUUCACUAGGAAGGUGAACUAAAGAAUACCUGUGGCCCCUCUUUUCUAGUUAGGUCUGCAUUGCUGGAGAGUCCUCUUCUGCCUCUGGUGUUCCAUCUCCUCUGCUUCUGUUUCUUCAGCAACCAGUUAAUUUUCCUCCUUCCCCUUUGCUUUAUCCCCCCAACACUCCACCACCUUGUUUCCGAGUUGGAUUUAUUCUCUGUAAGAAAAGAGCUGAAGAGUGACCAUGACCCUCGGGAACGCAUUUUAAACAAAAGACUUGUUUGGAACAGAUGUGAUAAAAAAAAAAAAAAACAGCUUUACAACAAAACCCCAGCAGCAACAGGAACCUUUCUGCUGCUCUAACAUCGCCUCCAGCUUCACAGGCAAGGAAGAACACUGCAGAAAGCUUAGAGGCAAAGAAACACCAGGUAUGGGUGCAGAAUAGCUUCAGCUACGGAGAUCUUUGGUUUCUCGAUUAGCUAGAUAAAAGCUCUCCUCUUGUCAGCAAGGCAAACAUACCUGUAAGGAAAGACCUCCUUCAGAUGUCAACCAAGCUGUAUUGCUACUUAGGAAAAAUUGAAAGCGCUGAAAUCUAUAAUGGAACGGUGGAGUUGUUGUGCCCUUUGAAUAUUUAUUUUGAGCGAUUUUGGACUAAAAUAUAACAGAAGCAGACUA